UACGGGAGGCAGCAGUGGGGAAUAUUGCACAAUGGGCGCAAGCCUGAUGCAGCCAUGCCGCGUGUAUGAAAAAGGCCUUCGGGUUGUAAAGUACUUUCAGUCGUGAGGAAGGUGUUAAGGUUAAUAACCUUAGCAAUUGACGUUAGCGACAGAAGAAGCACCGGCUAACUCCGUGCCAGCAGCCGCGGUAAUACGGAGGGUGCGAGCGUUAAUCGGAAUUACUGGGCGUAAAGGGCACGCAGGCGGUUAAUUAAGUUGGAUGUGAAAUCCCCGGGCUUAACCUGGGAAUGGCAUUCAAGACUGGUUAGCUAGAGUCUUGUAGAGGGGGUAGAAUUCCAUGUGUAGCGGUGAAAUGCGUAGAGAUGUGGAGGAAUACCGGUGACGAAGGCGGCCCCUGGACAAAGACUGACGCUCAUGUGCGAAAGCGUGGGGAGCAAACAGGGAUUAGAUACCCGU
Molecule: ribosomal RNA, 456 nt
Filed under: uncultured bacterium
Lineage: Bacteria
Description: bacterial SSU rRNA
Rfam family: Bacterial small subunit ribosomal RNA
Source: RNAcentral